AGAGUUUGAUCCUGGCUCAGAAUCAACGCUGGCGGCGCGCUUAACACAUGCAAGUCGAACGAGAAAGGGAGCAAUCCUGAGUAAAGUGGCGCACUGGUGAGUAACACGUGGAUAUCUACCUCCUGGUGGGGAAUAACCUGGGGAAACCUGGGCUAAUACCGCAUAAGUUCGAGAGAAGAAAGGCGCAAGUCGCCGGGAGAGGAGUCCGCGGUCGAUUAGGUAGUUGGCAGGGUAAAGGCCUACCAAGCCGAAGAUCGAUAGCCGGCCUGAGAGGGCACACGGCCACACUGGCACUGAAACACGGGCCAGACUCCUACGGGAGGCAGCAGUGGGGAAUCUUGCACAAUGGGGGAAACCCUGAUGCAGCGACGCCGCGUGAGCGAUGAAGCCCUUCGGGGUGUAAAGCUCUUUCGGCAGGAACGAUAAUGACGGUACCUGCAGAAGAAGCUGCGGCUAACUACGUGCCAGCAGCCGCGGUAAUACGUAGGCAGCAAGCGUUGUUCGGAAUUACUGGGCGUAAAGAGUGUGUAGGUGGUGUCGUAAGUUUGGUGUGAAAUCUCCCGGCUUAACUGGGAGGGUGCGCCGAAGACUGCGAUGCUGGAGUAUGGGAGAGGAAAGCGGAAUUCCUGGUGUAGCGGUGAAAUGCGUAGAUAUCAGGAGGAACACCUGCGGUGUAGACGGCUUUCUGGACCAUUACUGACACUGAGACACGAAAGCGUGGGUAGCAAACAGGAUUAGAUACCCUGGUAGUCCACGCCCUAAACGAUGCAUACUUGGUGUGAGCCAUUCAGUUGGUUCGU
This 800-nucleotide ribosomal RNA is filed under the name uncultured bacterium. RNAcentral's name for it is "bacterial SSU rRNA". It matches the Rfam family "Bacterial small subunit ribosomal RNA", at positions 8 to 844 of the family's 1533-position model. The record is from RNAcentral.